RNA transcript from Brassica oleracea var. oleracea, 2281 nucleotides. RefSeq lists it as uncharacterized. NCBI's taxonomy places the organism in Eukaryota, Viridiplantae, Streptophyta, Magnoliopsida, Brassicales, Brassicaceae. The record is from RefSeq and is a predicted model, not a curated record. The transcript is spliced from 3 exons.
UUCACAUGAACAACCAGACUCACUCCCCCACAAUUUGCUGCUUUAACUGCUCUCUCUCUCUCUCUCUCUCCAUGUGGUGAUGAUGUGGCAUUAAUCAUCUUCCUCUCUCUGAUUCACAUCUUCCCCUCGAAUGAUCGAUUCGGAUUGAAUUGGCUCCAUUAGGUUAAAGAGAGAGGGAUGGUUUCAGAGGCUUGGUAUCGUAAUCUAUGGAGAUUCCCAAAGAAACAACACGAUCAUCAUCAAUCCCAUAAAGAGAAGGCCGUGGUGCUCGGAGUAUUAGCCUUCGAGGUCGCGAGUUUACUCUCCAAACUCCUUCACUUAUGGCACUCCCUCAGCGACAAGAACGUCACGCGUCUCAGAGACGAGAUAACACGCUCCACGGGAAUCAAGAAGCUAGUUUCAGAAGACGACGACGACUUCGUCGUGAGGCUGAUACGCGACGAGACGAUGGAGAGCGUCGAGAGCGUAGCGAGAGCCGUGGCUAGGCUCGCGAGGAGAUGCAGCGAUCCCAAGCUGAAGAGCUUCGAGAGCUGUUUUUUCAGCUCGGGAGGUGAUGAUCCUUACGGGUGGCAGUUCGGGUGGAAGAAGAUGGAUAGGAAAGUUAAGAAGAUGGAGCGGUUUAUUUCGGUUAAUGCGAGUCUUUACCAGGAGACUGAGAUUCUGGCGGAUCUUGAGCAGACGGUUAAGAGAAUGACGAUGAGUAGUGAGUCUGCUGCGACCGAUAGUGUUUUGGAGUAUAAGAAAAAAGUCACGUGGAAAAAGCAUGAGGUGAAGGUUCUGAGGGAUGCGUCUCUUUGGAACCGGACUUAUGACUAUACGGUUCUUCUUUUGGUGAGAUCGGUGUUCACAGUCUUGAAUAGGACUAAACAUGUUUUUGGUGUUAGCUACAGAGCGGUGGAGGAGGGUAGUGAUGAUGUGGAUUCUGAUUUCAUCGGUCGGAGCCAAUCGGUUUCUACUGUUUUGGCGCAUUUAAUGUCUCAUCAGUCUGAGAGUGUUGGUCCUCCUAGAUUUGCUUCCGGUCCCCUUGGGAGAUUCACCGGUCCGGUUCCUGCAAGGUCCGCGAAGAUGAGUGAUUUCCUUUCGGAUACUCUCGGCACACAGUCCCCUGUGUCAGGUCCUCUUGUUGCGGAAAAGAACAAACGUUUCAAGUUUUACUCGGGUCCUCUUGGAAAGAUCACUUCCAAGUCAGGACCGCUUAUUGGAAUGGGGAAACACAACAAGAAGAUGGACCAGACCCCGGAAAGGCCUUCGGUUUCCUCAGAGAAGAAGCAAAUGAAACCAAACCGGUUAACACAGGUUGGCCCGUUUAAAGGCUGCAUGGUGUCUCAAGACGGUAUUACUCCACUCAGCACUAGGACAACCCGGAAUGGAGCUAGGAACCAUAUUCCUAACUCUGUCCAUGUUGAAUCCCGACCACCAAAGUUGUCAGAUGCUGCUCCUAAUACCCUCGGUGCAGCUUGCUUAGCGUUACACUAUGCUAACGUCAUCAUCGUGAUAGAGAGAUUUGUUGCGUCUCCUCACUUGAUAGGGGACGAUGCGAGAGACGAUCUUUACAACAUGUUACCGGCGAGCGUGAGAGCAUCGCUGAGAGAAAGGCUAAAGCCUUACUCGAAAAGCUUGAGUUCCGCCACGGUUUAUGAUCCAGGACUAGCGAAGGAAUGGACAGAGGCAAUGGCGGGUAUCUUGGAGUGGUUGGGUCCGUUAGCUCACAACAUGAUAAAAUGGCAGUCAGAGAGGAGUUACGAGCACCAAAGCUUGGUUUCGAGGACACACAUAGUUCUUGCGCAGACUCUUUCCUUUGCGAACCAGCAGAAGACAGAAGCUAUUAUAACGGAGCUUCUUGUGGGACUCAACUAUGUCUGGAGAUUUGGCAGAGAACUUAACGCCAAGGCUCUUCAAGAGUGUGCCAGUGAUAGUAUAACCCUUGAGAAAUGCAUGGACACAGAUAACUACUGAAGAUCUCCAAGACUACAUGUUUACUACCUCUUUGACCCGAACCGGCACUGGAACUCACCCCACGGGAAACAGAACCGUGGUCACGCCCGGUUAUCCAAUGCAGCUUGAACCAAACCAGAGGAAGAAAAGCUGUUACAUUGCUCGAUUACCACGAGAGAGUGAUCUGCUCUUUCAGGUAUGCCUAACUUUGACUUUAAAAUCAAGUAUAGAAAACCAAACAAACUCACGCGCUUGGAAUAUACGUCAUUUAAAGGCCGUGUAACCCACUCUCUGCGUUCGCGAGUGGAAUUUAGUUUAAACAUAUAAGAAUUUAAUUACAUCACGU